This 76-nucleotide transfer RNA is filed under the name Caudoviricetes sp. RNAcentral's name for it is "tRNA-Met". It matches the Rfam family "tRNA". Rfam says of the family: Transfer RNA (tRNA) molecules are approximately 80 nucleotides in length. Their secondary structure includes four short double-helical elements and three loops (D, anti-codon, and T loops). Further hydrogen bonds mediate the characteristic L-shaped molecular structure. tRNAs have two regions of fundamental functional importance: the anti-codon, which is responsible for specific mRNA codon recognition, and the 3' end, to which the tRNAs corresponding amino acid is attached (by aminoacyl-tRNA synthetases). tRNAs cope with the degeneracy of the genetic code in two manners: having more than one tRNA (with a specific anti-codon) for a particular amino acid; and 'wobble' base-pairing, i.e. permitting non-standard base-pairing at the 3rd anti-codon position. Lineage: Duplodnaviria; Heunggongvirae; Uroviricota; Caudoviricetes. The record is from RNAcentral.
GGCGGAGUGGAGCAGUGGUAGCUUGCCGGGUUCAUGCCCCGGAGGUCGUUGGUUCAAAUCCAACCUCCGCAACUCA